GGCCGCCUCGGGAGGCAGCAGUAGGGAAUAUUGCUCAAUGGGGGAAACCCUGAAGCAGCAACGCCGCGUGGAGGAUGAAGGUUUUCGGAUUGUAAACUCCUUUUGUUAGAGAAGAUAAUGACGGUAUCUAACGAAUAAGCACCGGCUAACUCCGUGCCAGCAGCCGCGGUAAUACGGAGGGUGCAAGCGUUACUCGGAAUCACUGGGCGUAAAGAGCGCGUAGGCGGGAUAGCAAGUCAGAUGUGAAAUCCUAAGGCUUAACC
RNAcentral lists this ribosomal RNA (263 nucleotides) under uncultured bacterium. RNAcentral's name for it is "partial 16S ribosomal RNA". It matches the Rfam family "Bacterial small subunit ribosomal RNA", at positions 333 to 614 of the family's 1533-position model. The record is from RNAcentral.